RNAcentral lists this transfer RNA (73 nucleotides) under Cordylochernes scorpioides. RNAcentral's name for it is "tRNA-Thr". It matches the Rfam family "tRNA". From Rfam's summary of the family: Transfer RNA (tRNA) molecules are approximately 80 nucleotides in length. Their secondary structure includes four short double-helical elements and three loops (D, anti-codon, and T loops). Lineage: Eukaryota; Metazoa; Arthropoda; Arachnida; Pseudoscorpiones; Chernetidae. The record is from RNAcentral.
UCCAGGGUAACCUAGUGGACAUGGCAUCUGCCCGGUAAGCGGAACACUGUGGGUUCGAUUCCCAUUCCUGGAC